UUUUUUGGUAGAGAAAAAUCACAAAGUAGAAGCACCAUCAAUGUCAACUUUAACCCAACCUCUACCACCUCUGAUUUUUCCUCUGCAAUUCCCUCUCCGAUCUUCUGCAUGAUUGCCUCUCCAUAUUCACCCACUGCUCUUUGAACUUUUAUUAGUGUCAGCAAAGCAUCAGGAGCUUUCCCAUUUAUACUGAACUACACAUCUAGCUUUCCAAAUAUUCCAACAAGUAAAAGGCACAGUUGUAGGUAACAAUAUCUUCUCUUUGCCCGUCACUUGUUCCAUAUCUAGGACUUCUCUCAACCACUGACCAAAGGUUGUAAUUGCCCUUUGAUCAACUUUUUAUCCUAGACAAGUGCCAAACCACACAGCUUGCACCCAUUCACACUAAAGUAACAAAUAAUUGAAAUGUCAAACCAAUUAUAACAUAAUUGGUCUAUGUAAAAAUAAUAUUAUGCAUUCUAUCAUCCAAAAAAAAUUACAAUUUUGUAUAUAAUCUUUCAAAAGUUUUGUAUUUGCCCAUAAAAUUUUGGGUUUAAGGAGGGAAAAAAUUUUGGCUUAGUCUAGUCUUGUUUUCCUUUAGAUAAGAAUCUGGUUUUUCUGUUCAUCUGUUCAUGGAGGGCAGCAGAUGUUACUAUGGAAACUCCAAUUCAGUGUAAAUUCGUACCUGGAAUUCAAACAAGAUCAAGUGCCUAUAGUCUCAUUCAUGCUGCUUCCUGGUCCAAACUGCACUACUCUCAUCAGAUCUGGAAGAAAAAAAGAAUUAACAUUAACAUCAAGAAAUGGGAGAAGAAGAAGAAGAUCAUGCAAGUUAAAGCUCUUCGGGUGUUUUUGGGGUGGGUGAUGCUGAUCAUGCCAGAAACAUGGAAUCAAAGGAAAACAUUCAACGAAGCUAGAGAACUGUAUAUUGCAGAGAGAAGAGCUGCAGUGAAAACCACUGCCUUUCCUUAUCUUUUAGCUACACUAGAAGACUCUGUAAUGUUGACUUCAAAAAGCUAGUCUUCGUAUGAUCAAAU
RNAcentral lists this long non-coding RNA (1013 nucleotides) under Theobroma cacao (cacao). Its description in RNAcentral is "long non-coding RNA (TCAC_LNC004274)". Lineage: Eukaryota; Viridiplantae; Streptophyta; Magnoliopsida; Malvales; Malvaceae. The record is from RNAcentral.